AGGUGUCUCUUGAUGCAGGGUAUUGUAGAAUCACUAUUCUGGCUCCAAGGGCCUGCUGUAAGUUUGCUAGUCAGGAUCUUUCACUGGUAUAAUAAAGCAAAGAAACCAUGAUAGAUAAAAGUUGGACAGAGGAGCCCGACAAAUUGAGUAAAAAGUUUCGGUCAGGUGUGGAUUCCUUUAUUGAGAUGACCAAAAAUCAUCUCAUAAGAAUCAAAAAGGACAAGUGUCGAUGCCCUUGUAAACAAUGCUUGAAUGGAAACGACCCAGUUUCGUUAGAUUUGGUCAAGAAUCAUUUGCUUAAAUAUGGAAUGGCAGUCAGUUAUAGAUAUACAAUAUGGUAUGAUCAUGGAGAAGAAGACAACCCUGCACAAGAUCAGUCAGCGUCAAGUUCUGUCAAUGUCCAUAAUGAUGAAACAACUUUUAUUGGGAAUGAAAAUGAGGCUAUACUUGAGAUGUUACGUGAAAAUGUUGAAUCCUUAACUUCUGAUGGGAAGGAUGGAGGGGAGAAAACUAGUGAAGCUGAUUUAGCCAUAUUUUCCGCAUUAUUAGAUGAAGCUAAGCAAGAUCUAUAUCCUAGUUGUAAGGACUUUACGUCGUUAACAUUCUUGGUAAGGUUAAUGCAUAUCAAAGUUAUUAACCGCCUGAGUAAUAAAAGUUCCGAGAUGCAUCUGGAGUUACUUAAAAAAUCUUUUCCAAAGAACAACAACAUUCCCAGUUCAUAUUAUGAAGCUAAAAGAAUGUUGAAGGGUUUAGGAUUGGGUUAUGAGUCAAUUCAUGUUUGUAAAAACGAUUGUGCUUUAUUCUGGAAGGAGUAUGAAAAGGAAGACAAAUGUCCGGUAUGCCGUGAAUCUAGAUAGAAGUUUAAUGACGGUAAAGGUAAGAAGAUCCCACACAAGGUGCUGCGUUAUUUUCCUUUAAAACCAAGACUACAGAGACUUUUUUCGUCAAAACACACAGCUUGUGACAUGAGAUGGCAUAAGGGAAGACAUGUCGAAGGUGGUGUUUUAAGGCAUCCAGCUGAUGCUGAAGCAUGGAAGGAUUUUGAUGCGCGGUAUCCAUGGUUUGCGGCAGAACCUCGUAAUUUGAGGUUGGGUCUUUCUACUGAUGGGUUUAAUCCUUUUGGAAAUAUGAGCAAUGCGUAUAGCUUAUGGUCAGUGGUGUUGAUGCCGUACAACCUCCCUCCUUUUAAGUGCAUGAAGCAACCUUUUUUCAUGAUGUCGUUACUUAUUUCUGGACCGCAAGCACCUGACAAUGACAUUGAUGCGAAUUUGCGCCCUUUAAUCGAUGAGUUAAAAGAGCUGUGGGAUGUCGGUGUGGAAACUCGUGAUGUCUCGACAGGAAAAGUUUUUUGUAUGUGUGCAGCUGUGUUAUGGACCAUAAAUGACUUCCCGGCAUACGCUAAUUUAUCUUGUUGGAGUACAAAAGAGUAUCUCGCCUGUCCCGUGUGUAAUGAUGAUCCGCCUUCACGGAAACUGAGAAGCAAGAUAGGUUAUUUGUGUCACCGACGGUUCUUGAAUCCUGGUCAUACCUGGUGAGAUAGAAGACUUCAUGAUGGACAUAAAAAAAAACGGGAUCCACCGGAAGAGAAAACAGGGGAUCAACUGUUGCAGCAAAUGCAGAAUCUUGGGAUCAAUCGUUUCGGAAAACAUCCGAGUUACUCAACUAAGAAAAGAAAGUGUUCCUAGGAAGAACUGAGCUGGACGAAGAAGAGUAUCUUCUACGAGCUUCCAUAUUGGAAACAUCUCAAAAUCAUACAUAAGAUUGAUGUUAUGCAUGUGGAGAAGAAUAUAUGUGAUAACAUUGUAGGAACGAUGUUAGGUAUUGAUGGAAAAAACAAGGAUACAGAGAAAGCUCGGUUAGAUUUGGAAGAUAUGAACAUUAGGAAAGAAUUGCAUCUACGACCUAAGGGAGAUAAAUUCGAAGACCCCCAGCAUGUUAUACAUUAAAACCAGAACAAAGAAGAGAUUUUUGUAAGUUUUUGAAGUCGGUGAAGUUCCCAGAUGGUUAUGCGGCUAACAUAUCGAGGUGUGCUAACAUUGCUGAUGGAAAGAUACAUGGUCUGAAAAGCCAUGACUGCUACAUCUUGUUACAAAGACUUCUUCCUGUUGGAAUUCGUGCUUAUCUUCGCAAAGAUGUGUGUAUUGCCAUAAUUGAAUUGUGUAACUUCUUUCAUGAUUUAUGUGCAAAGACUUUGACUGUGAGUCACCUGGAUAAAUUAGAAAAGGAUAUUGUAUUGAUCCUUUGUAAGUUGGAGCAAAUAUUCCCACCGGCAUUUUUUGAUGUGAUGGUUCAUUUGGCUGUUCACUUUCCACGGGAAGCAAAACUUGUUGGACCGGUUGGAUAUAGUUGGAUGUAUCCAAUGGAAAGGUACCUAGGAACACUUAAACGCUACGUGGGAAAUAAAGCGCGCCCAGAAGGUUCAAUUACAGAGGCUACAUCAUUAAUGAAUGCUUGACAUUCAUAUCGAUGCACUUCACCGAAACUGAAAGUAAAUUUAAUAGGAAAGAACGAAAUGAUGAUGAAUUAGAUGGUAGUCUACGACGCCAAGGAACAAUAUUUUUUUUCGCUCAAAAAGUCCACCCAACUGGCGCUACAGAAAUAAAGUCAUUGUCACCAGAAGAACGAGAUCAGAUACAUCGGUACAUCCUUAACAAUUGUGAAGAGGUGCAUCCUUACAUGAAGGAACACUUGAAGAAGUUGAAAGAAGAGACGAAUAAUGAUAACUUGUUGUCACAACGGAAGUGUGACUGGUUCGAUUUGACUUGAGGUAGAAUACCUGAACAAUUAUAGGGUUGUGUUAUUCAAGUGUGACUGGUUCGAUUUGACUCCACGGAAGAAAAAUCUUAAAACAUAUUAUGAUUUGACAUGUUUAAAUGUGAGUAGUACGUGGUAUAAUAAAGACCCAUAUGUUAUCGCAUCGGACGCGCGGCAAGUGUUCUACCUGGAUGAUCAUAAAUUCGGAACAUACUGGAAAGUGGUUCUAAAGAUGCAUCACAGACAUAUAUGGGAUGUUCCUGAAAUGGAUGAUGAUGAUGAUGAUGAUGAAGAAGAAGAGGAAGAAGAAGAAGAUGUUUAUCAACAAACUGGAGAUGUAACGGUAUUAUCAGUCAUACAAGAAGAUAAUAAUGUUGGACUAGAUGAACUCCAUAGAGAUGAUGUGGAGGCAGAGUUGGUAGAUGCAGAGAUUGUAUGUGCAGUUGAUAUUGACGUGGAUGAUGUUGAUGUCGAGGAAGAAGAUGAGACAUUGGUUGAUUAUAAUGACUCAGAGGUGGAUGAGGAAGACAUUGAGCCAGUUGACAAUGAUACAGAUUUAGAGGAUUAGUUAUUUGCAUUUUAUUUACUUAAAAAUAGUUGUUUGGUUUGAUAAUUAUUUUGAUGAGAACAACAGCUCUCUAUCUUUCAAUGAUUCAGAGAUUUUUUUUUCUUUUGAACAAAGGGAUUGGUUAUUUUAGUUGUUGGUUGGAUUUCAAUAUUCUGUCUCAAAUUCAAUUUUUUU
This is a long non-coding RNA of Papaver somniferum (opium poppy), 3496 nucleotides long. RefSeq lists it as uncharacterized. The transcript has 4 exons. NCBI's taxonomy places the organism in Eukaryota, Viridiplantae, Streptophyta, Magnoliopsida, Ranunculales, Papaveraceae. The record is from RefSeq and is a predicted model, not a curated record.